Molecule: microRNA precursor, 75 nt
Filed under: Leptotrombidium deliense
Lineage: Eukaryota; Metazoa; Arthropoda; Arachnida; Trombidiformes; Trombiculidae
Description: mir-10 microRNA precursor family
Rfam family: mir-10 microRNA precursor family
About the family: In this case the mature sequence comes from the 5' arm of the precursor. The extents of the hairpin precursors are not generally known and are estimated based on hairpin prediction.
Source: Rfam by way of RNAcentral
CUACAUCUACCCUGUAGAUCCGAAUUUGUCUAUUGUGUUCAAGGCAACAAAUUCGGUUCUAGAGAGGUUUGUGUG